Mustela lutreola (European mink) is the source of this 752-nucleotide long non-coding RNA. RefSeq lists it as uncharacterized. The record is from RefSeq and is a predicted model, not a curated record. NCBI's taxonomy places the organism in Eukaryota, Metazoa, Chordata, Mammalia, Carnivora, Mustelidae. The transcript has 3 exons.
AGAGUUCAGUAUUUGCUCCUCCAGAAGUUGCUGGGAGCAGUCCCUGAGGUACAUAAAAUAAAGUCUCAUGCUGGGAUACCACCAAGCUCUUAACACAGGGUGAACCAGAGACUGUGAUCUGUGGGCCUCCAGCCACAGGAAAGAGUGACAUGCAAGGCUGGCCAGACGGAGUCACGCAGAUAUCUGCAGACUGGACAGAUGCCAGCUCCUCUUCUCUACUCUGCUCCAGGGGGGCUGGAAGGCAGGCUAUGCCCAGUCAAACAUGAAUCUGGAGAAUUCCUCUCAGGAAGCGGCCUCUGAGGAGGACCUGAGGAGCUUGGCAAUAGGGAUUCUACCAGUGACCUGGGGCUUCUGAUGGCCUCUUAGAAAGCCUUUAGGCCAGCUGGUCCACAGGCAUUUCCUGGGAAGCCAGAGGGGAGCUGGGAUGCCAAGCUGGACGAGGUGUCUUCAGAAAAUAAAGCCACCCAAGGUGGAUGAAGGAAGAUGCUGGAGGCCUAGCCCCUAACACCCACUCAGAGUUUGGGAGAUGAGCUCAUAUGGGCUCAUGCUCCUCCGGAAGUUGUCCCCAAGGUGAGCUGGGGAACCUGGAGGAAGGCAGGCAAGAGAGGGAAAGCGACCCAAGGGCACCCACACAACUCCCAGGCUGACUGCACUACCAAGCACCCUGUCGGUGCAGGGGCGGCCCGUCUCCUCGCCCACUCCCUGGAAGCCUCUCGUGCCGCCCCCACCGCCGGUUUGGGGGGCGCUCACCU